UACAGAGGGGGCAAGCGUUAUUCGGAAUUAUUGGGCGUAAAGGGCGCGUAGGCGGCUAGAUGUGUCAAAGGUGAAAUCCCUCGGCUCAACUGAGGAACUGCCUUUGAAACUGUCUGGCUUGAGGCCGGGAGAGGGUAGCGGAAUUCCCAGUGUAGCGGUGAAAUGCGUAGAUAUUGGGAGGAACACCAGUGGCGAAGGCAGCUCCCUGGACCGGAUCUGACGCUGAGGCGCGAAAGCGUGGGUAGCAAACAGG
This 253-nucleotide ribosomal RNA is filed under the name uncultured bacterium. RNAcentral describes it as "partial 16S ribosomal RNA". It matches the Rfam family "Bacterial small subunit ribosomal RNA", at positions 524 to 776 of the family's 1533-position model. The record is from RNAcentral.